GAUGAACGCUGGCGGCGUGCCUAAUACAUGCAAGUCGAGCGAACAGACGAGGAGCUUGCUCCUCUGACGUUAGCGGCGGACGGGUGAGUAACACGUGGAUAACCUACCUAUAAGACUGGGAUAACUUCGGGAAACCGGAGCUAAUACCGGAUAAUAUAUUUAACCGCAUGGUUCAAUAGUGAAAGACGGUUUUGCUGUCACUUAUAUAUGGAUCCGCGCCGCAUUAGCUAGUUGGUAAGGUAACGGCUUACCAAGGCAACGAUGCGUAGCCGACCUGAGAGGGUGAUCGGCCACACUGGAACUGAGACACGGUCCAGACUCCUACGGGAGGCAGCAGUAGGGAAUCUUCCGCAAUGGGCGAAAGCCUGACGGAGCAACGCCGCGUGAGUGAUGAAGGUCUUCGGAUCGUAAAACUCUGUUAUUAGGGAAGAACAAAUGUGUAAGUAACUAUGCACGUCUUGACGGUACCUAAUCAGAAAGCCACGGCUAACUACGUG
RNAcentral lists this ribosomal RNA (497 nucleotides) under uncultured bacterium. RNAcentral describes it as "partial 16S ribosomal RNA". It matches the Rfam family "Bacterial small subunit ribosomal RNA", at positions 28 to 507 of the family's 1533-position model. The record is from RNAcentral.